GAGCCUUCGGGAACGGAGAAAAUUUUCAUAUUGAAAAUAUCGAGCAAAAGAGUUGCGAUCACUUGGAUAGUACCUGUGCGUCGUUUACAGUCGUCUCCGAAAAUGCACGACGAAUUAUUGUGGUGUUCCGAGGAACACGAUCUAAGUCUCAACUAUUCCUAGAAGGAUGGCAGUCCGUCGGAACCGGAAUUGAUUUCUUUGACAUGGGAGAAGUCAAUAGAUAUUUCCUAAAUGCGCAUUUGGUACUUUGGCCGGAAAUUGAGAAAGUCAUUACGAAUCCAAGAUGGGCGAACUUCGAUAUCACCUUCACCGGUCACUCCCUCGGUGGAGCUCUUGCUUCUCUCGCAGCCGCCCGUACCGCAAAACAAGGCUUCCGAUCUGGCUCUCAAAUUAAAGUCUACACCUUCGGCCAGCCACGUGUCGGAAAUGUGCAAUUCGCUCGCAACUUUGACGCGAUUCUCCCGAACACUUAUCGAGUGGUCUUCCGACGAGACAUCGUUCCACAUAUGCCAGCGUGUCACAAGAAUCAGACAUUCAUCUCGGAGCACGAAGGUGGAGCAAAGCCGUGUCACGCAGAGCACCAGGAUUAUUAUCAUCAUGGAACGGAGAUUUGGUAUCCGGACGAGAUGAGCGCUGGAGCACAUUAUGUCGAGUGCCUAGGGGCUCCGAAGAAUGAAGAUUUUGGAUGCUCGGAUAGAAUCAAGUUUUUUGUUGAUCAAUCUGAUACGUACACCUGGGAUCAUCGACAUUAUUUUGGAGUCAAGGUACCACCAUAUGGAAAAACCGGAUGCGAUGAUCUACUUCCCGAAGGAAAACCAACAGUUUUUGAAAAUGUUGUGAAGCGGCUCAAUUUGCUCACAAGAACCAUUGGUUUGGAUUAAUUUCAAUGCUUAGUAUCCACCUUGCCAGCCCCAUUACGAAAAUCUCAAUUUCCCCCAAAUUCUGUUUAUUUGACGACGUGUAUAU
Molecule: unclassified non-coding RNA, 966 nt
Filed under: Caenorhabditis elegans
Lineage: Eukaryota; Metazoa; Nematoda; Chromadorea; Rhabditida; Rhabditidae
Description: Non-coding transcript of protein-coding gene T08B1.4c
Source: RNAcentral